RNAcentral lists this ribosomal RNA (433 nucleotides) under uncultured bacterium. RNAcentral's name for it is "partial 16S ribosomal RNA". It matches the Rfam family "Bacterial small subunit ribosomal RNA", at positions 29 to 507 of the family's 1533-position model. The record is from RNAcentral.
AACGAACGCUGGCGGCAUGCCUAACACAUGCAAGUCGAACGAGACCUUCGGGUCUAGUGGCGCACGGGUGCGUAACGCGUGGGAACCUGCCCUUAGGUUCGGAAUAACUCCCCGAAAGGGGUGCUAAAACCGGGAAUGGUCUUGGACCCAACGAUUUAUCGCCUUUGGAUGGGCCCGCGUUGGAUUAGCUAGUGGGUAGGGUAAAGGCCUACCAAGGCGACGAUCCAUAGCUGGUCUGAGAGGAUGAUCAGCCACACUGGGACUGAGACACGGCCCAGACUCCUACGGGAGGCAGCAGUGGGGAAUAUUGGACAAUGGGCGAAAGCCUGAUCCAGCAAUGCCGCGUGAGUGAUGAAGGCCUUAGGGUUGUAAAGCUCUUUUACCCGGGAUGAUAAUGACAGUACCGGGAGAAUAAGCUCCGGCUAACUCCGUG